UUUUAUUCCUAGUCUAUGUGGUCUUGCAGAAAAAUGAAUCGCUUAACUCUUUGUGAGCAGGACUCCUCCAUCCUUGUAGUGGGGAAGGGCACAGCCUCUCUACUGUCUGCACCAAGGAGUUCCUGUGCCAGUGAGGAGGAGCCCUCUACUAGAGUGAUGGAGGUCUUAGUCGUACAUGGAAGCUGAUGGAGUUACUGUGGAAGCCAUGUUCUGAGUCUCAGUGGAGAAAGGGCUGUCUCUGAAGCUGGUAAAGGAGAUUCCAUGAGCUUCUGGCAGCUGCUCUUCUGCUUUGCGAGACUACAGCUGUGAGGAUCCAGAGAUGAAGAAAGGAGAGCAUGCAGGGAACAAAGUAGGGUGGGGGCUGCCUGUUAGGAUUUCAAGGAAUUGCCAUGAAGAAGAAAACUAGGAAGGAUCUCAGGCUGGCAAGCACAGCUAAACCAUCAGUGUGGAAAGUUAAACAAGAAUGGUCCAGGGAAAGGGGACCUGACCCCUGUGGAGGAGACCUGUAUGGAGGCUAGGGAAUGAUGGGGGAAACCCCAAAAGUGCCAUUACCUAGGAAGGUGGCAAGGAGCAGGGUUUCUUACCUGACUUACCUGACUUAACUGUAUACUCAGUUUGUCUCAUGACCAGAGCAUGUUUAGGUAUUUUGGAGUGAUUUGUGAGCCCCAACUUCAAAUUCCUAUGUUAAGCCUUCCUUCUGCCACUAUUUGGAGACAGGGUCUUAACACAACAAUUAAACUUAAAUAAGGAUCUUUAAGGUAGUCCACAACCUAAUGUUUCUGGUGUUUUCAGGAGUAGAGGCUGGGACGCAGACAUACAGAAGGGAAAUGCCACAACGAAGACAGAGAUUGCCUGGCACCCAUAAGCCACAGAGAGGAGACUCAGAAACAAACCCUGACACCUUCGUUUCAGUCUUCCAGUCCCCAGAGCUCUGAGGAGAACCUUGGCCAUUGUGUAAGCCACUAAAUCCACAAUACUCUGUGAUGGCAGCCCAAACCAGCUCGAAUAGUUGACAAUUUGGGGCA
RNAcentral lists this long non-coding RNA (1025 nucleotides) under Mus spicilegus (steppe mouse). RNAcentral's name for it is "lncRNA (ENSMSIG00000030140.1)". The record is from RNAcentral. Lineage: Eukaryota; Metazoa; Chordata; Mammalia; Rodentia; Muridae.